UACGUAGGGUGCAAGCGUUAAUCGGAAUUACUGGGCGUAAAGGGUGCGUAGGCGGAUAAUCAAGUCAGAUGUGAAAGCCCCGGGCUUAACCUGGGAACUGCGUUUGAUACGGAUGGGCUAGAGUUCGGGAGAGGAGAGUGGAAUUCCCAGUGUAGAGGUGAAAUUCGUAGAUAUUGGGAAGAACACCGGUGGCGAAGGCGGCUCUCUGGACCGAGACUGACGCUGAGGCGCGAAAGCGUGGGGAGCAAACAGG
RNAcentral lists this ribosomal RNA (253 nucleotides) under uncultured bacterium. RNAcentral's name for it is "partial 16S ribosomal RNA". It matches the Rfam family "Bacterial small subunit ribosomal RNA", at positions 524 to 776 of the family's 1533-position model. The record is from RNAcentral.